CAUUACAGAGUUCGUGCCCUUCGGGGUAGACCUCCCACCCUUUGUAUACAUACUAUUGUUGCUUCGGCGGCUCGCCGCAAGGCCCUCGGCUUCGGCUGGGGCGUGGCCGCCGGAGAACCAUAAACCCUGAAUUACAGUGUCGUCCGAGUACUAUAUAAUAGUUAAAACUUUCAACAACGGAUCUCUUGGUUCUGGCAUCGAUGAAGAACGCAGCGAAAUGCGAUAAGUAAUGUGAAUUGCAGAAUUCAGUGAAUCAUCGAAUCUUUGAACGCACAUUGCGCCCCUUGGUAUUCCGAGGGGCAUGCCUGUUCGAGCGUCAUUAUAACCCUCAAGCCUAGCUUGGUGUUGGGGCCUGCCGUCAGCGGCAGCCCUUAAAAUCAGUGGCGGUGCCAUCUGGCUCUAAGCGUAGUAAUUCUUCUCGCUAUAGUGCUCCGGUGGAUGCUUGCCAACAACCCCCAAUUUUUCUAUGGUUGACCUCGGAUCAGGUAGGGAUACCC
RNAcentral lists this ribosomal RNA (497 nucleotides) under uncultured Ascomycota. RNAcentral's name for it is "eukaryotic LSU rRNA". The stretch from base 166 to 319 matches the Rfam family "5.8S ribosomal RNA". Lineage: Eukaryota; Fungi; Ascomycota. The record is from RNAcentral.